Molecule: ribosomal RNA, 466 nt
Filed under: uncultured bacterium
Lineage: Bacteria
Description: partial 16S ribosomal RNA
Rfam family: Bacterial small subunit ribosomal RNA
Source: RNAcentral
GACGAACGCUGGCGGCGCGCCUAACACAUGCAAGUCGAACGAGCGAGAGAGAGCUUGCUUUCUCAAGCGAGUGGCGAACGGGUGAGUAACGCGUGAGGAACCUGCCUCAAAGAGGGGGACAACAGUUGGAAACGACUGCUAAUACCGCAUAAGCCCACAGGUCGGCAUCGACCAGAGGGAAAAGGAGCAAUCCGCUUUGAGAUGGCCUCGCGUCCGAUUAGCUAGUUGGUGAGGUAACGGCCCACCAAGGCAACGAUCGGUAGCCGGACUGAGAGGUUGAACGGCCACAUUGGGACUGAGACACGGCCCAGACCCCUACGGGAGGCAGCAGUGGGGAAUAUUGCACAAUGGGGGAAACCCUGAUGCAGCGACGCCGCGUGGAGGAAGAAGGUCUUCGGAUUGUAAACUCCUGUUGUUGAGGAAGAUAAUGACGGUACUCAACAAGGAAGUGACGGCUAACUACGUG